Molecule: ribosomal RNA, 515 nt
Filed under: uncultured bacterium
Lineage: Bacteria
Description: partial 16S ribosomal RNA
Rfam family: Bacterial small subunit ribosomal RNA
Source: RNAcentral
GAUGAACGCUGGCGGCGUGCCUAAUACAUGCAAGUCGAGCGAAUGGAUUAAGAGCUUGCUCUUAUGAAGUUAGCGGCGGACGGGUGAGUAACACGUGGGUAUCCUGCCCAUAAGACUGGGAUAACUCCGGGAAACCGGGGCUAAUACCGGAUAACAUUUUGAACCGCAUGGUUCGAAAUUGAAAGGCGGCUUCGGCUGUCACUUAUGGAUGGACCCGCGUCGCAUUAGCUAGUUGGUGAGGUAACGGCUCACCAAGGCAACGAUGCGUAGCCGACCUGAGAGGGUGAUCGGCCGCACUGGGACUGAGACACGGCCCAGACACCUACGGGAGGCAGCAGUAGGGAAUCUUCCGCAAUGGACGAAAGUCGGACGGAGCAACGCCGCGUGAGUGAUGAAGGCUUUCGGGUCGUAAAACUCUGUUGUUAGGGAAGAACAAGUGCUAGUUGAAUAAGCUGGCACCUUGACGGUACCUAACCAGAAAGCCACGGCUAACUACGUGCCAGCCGCCGUAACAC